Long non-coding RNA from Salvelinus fontinalis (brook trout), 927 nucleotides. RefSeq lists it as uncharacterized. The transcript is spliced from 3 exons. The record is from RefSeq and is a predicted model, not a curated record. Lineage: Eukaryota; Metazoa; Chordata; Actinopteri; Salmoniformes; Salmonidae.
CUGAUUUGGUCGUCUGGCUACCAGCAGCAUGAAGCGAACCCAAGCACAUGCGCAGAUAGUGUGUGUGACAGUGUGAGGGCGAAGUCUUGCAUCUUGCUCAUAUCAAUAUCUGCGGAAUUGCUCGUGGCAACAUAAUUACGCUUGCUGAGCCUGAACGGCGUUUUCACAUAUGCAAUUUGGUACCCUGGUUUGAUUUCCUGAAGCGUUUGUGCGAAUUCUACAGAAUACGUUUUGCUUUCACAAGACCCGUGAUUCCCCUGGGAGUAGCAAGACCCACAUUCUACACUCUAUAAAUUAGGGGUUCAACAAGGGUUCUUCUAAGAUCCUCAGAGUUCUUCGAAGAAUCUUAUGGCACUGAAAAUGGUCCCCAAAAUGUUCUUCCAAGAACCCCAUAGGAGUUGGUGUCCAUUGAGGAACCUCCUUAGUUGGUGGGGGUUCUUGCAGGAAUCUAACUGCCCAACUGAAAUAUUUUUGAUUUGAAAGGACAGCAGGUCUACAUUUAAAUUGUUUUAUGAUGAUACCAUCUAUCUUUUCAUAUGUGUGCAAAUCCUUCUAAAACAGAAAAUGGACACAAUUCAUGGAUUUCAAUUGUGAAAGAGAUGAGGAGGCAUACAAAGGUAUGUGCAUUGGUAUUGGUAUGUUAUGAAGAUCACAUUUACCAGCGUCCUCCCUUACCUCUUCAAUGAACAUCCCAUAGGCCUCUACAUUGUGGACAAGACUUAACCCUCCCUACACCUCUGAUGAAUAUAACAGAAAACCUGUUCGAUCACCAUGCACUACAAAAUCAUUCUGGCUAUGGAAACGGAGAACAUCAACACAUUAAUAUCAACACGCCAGAGAAUAUACCCAUUGGACUUGGGGCUCUGCCGGGACUUUACCUGAUAUUUAGAUUUUUUUAUUCUGCUUUGCCACCAAAAUCGUAACACU